UCGAGCGGAUCAAGGGAGCUUGCUCCCUGAGAUCAGACGGCGGACGGGUGAGUAACACGUGGGUAACCUGCCUGUAAGACUGGGAUAACUCCGGGAAACCGGGGCUAAUACCGGAUAACUCAGUUCCUCGCAUGAGGAACUGUUGAAAGGGGGCUUUUAACUACCACUUACUGAUGGACCCGGGGCGCAUUACCUAGUUGGGGAGGCCAUGGCACCCCCGGGUGAAGAUGGGGAGCAGACCAGAGAGGGAGGGGCGGAUGAUGGGACAGAUCCCCCCCCCAUCACUCCUUUGGGACGCAGCAGUAAGUAAUCCUCGCCGAAGGAAAGGCUGACGAAGAAAAACCGGGGGGGGGCUGAAGGCGGUCAUUUACCCCAACUCCGCUGUCGGGAGCUGACAACGACGUUGCACCACCUGUCACUCUGUCCCCCGAAGGAGAAAGCCCUAUCUCUAGGGUUGUCGGAGGAUGUCACGACCGGAAAUAGUUGUUCAGCUUGCUUUCGAAUUAAAUGAGAGGUCUACAGCGCGUGCGCGGGCCCCUUUCAAUAUCUAUGUGAGAGUCACACGCGUGACCCGUACUCUCCACGCUGAGUGCUGAAUGACGUUAUCUGCAGGAACAGAAGGCGGAAUUCCU
This 632-nucleotide ribosomal RNA is filed under the name Rossellomorea aquimaris. RNAcentral's name for it is "Bacillus aquimaris partial 16S ribosomal RNA". The stretch from base 1 to 345 matches the Rfam family "Bacterial small subunit ribosomal RNA", at positions 62 to 399 of the family's 1533-position model. Lineage: Bacteria; Bacillati; Bacillota; Bacilli; Caryophanales; Bacillaceae. The record is from RNAcentral.